RNAcentral lists this long non-coding RNA (4430 nucleotides) under Homo sapiens (human). Its description in RNAcentral is "HSALNT0257421". The record is from RNAcentral. Lineage: Eukaryota; Metazoa; Chordata; Mammalia; Primates; Hominidae.
AUUUAAUUCUCAUGUUUAUUGUGUGAAACAAAUGAGUUACUGACUAAAAAGAAAAAAGCAAAACUGCUAUUUGACUUUGGAAUAAAUCAGGCAAACCCAUCCUCUUUAUUUUUAUCAAGAUUUAGGCAUGACAGAAAAAUAAAUUUUAAUAAGAAAAACAAAAUAUUAUAUUUAAAAAAUGCUAUGAACAAAAGAGAAUCUGAUAGUCACAGUGAUUAGCAUGUAGGAUAUGCAGUAUAAGACAUUACCUAAGCCAUUGAACAUUUAUAGGCUUAACACCUAAGAAUUUAAAGUGACUGUAUCAAAGAUUCAUUGAAUAAAAAAUAAUUGCUCCUUUUAAAAGAUUAUGUUUUUAAUCAAAAUAUAAUCAUUGCAUGUAUUUGUUGGCUACAAUGUCUUUUUUUUUUAAUAUUUUUUUAGAUGGAGUCUCUCUCUGUCGCCUAGGCUGGAGUGCAGUGGCAUGAUCUCGGCUCACUGCAAGCUCCGCCUCCCAGGUUCACGCCAUUUUUUUUGCAUUUUUAGUAGAGAUGGGGUUUCACCAUGUUAGUCAGGAUGGUCUCGAUCUCCUGAUCUCAUGAUCUGCCCGCCUUAGCCUCCCAAAGUGCUGGGAUUACAGGCAUGAGCCACCAUGCCUGGCCACGAAUAAAAAAGAGCAAUUGAAAUUGCUAUCCUCAAGGAAAUCACUUCUCAGUGUUCCAUCUGCUAUUCUACUACUCUCAGGGAUUGUUCAGGCCCUCUCCCUUCCCUACACAUCAAGCUUGGGAUUUGCCCCUGCCCAGGACUGGCAAAUUGACUUUACUCACAUGCCCUGAGUCAGGAAACUAAAAUACCUUAUGGUCUGGGUAGACACUUUCACUGGAUGGGUAGAGGCCUUUCCCACAGGGUCUGAGAAGGCCACUGCCGUCAUUUCUUCCCUUCUGUCAGACAUAGUUCCUUGGUUUGGCCUUCCCACCUCUAUACAGUCUGAAAAGGGACAGGCCUUUAUUAGUCAAAUCACCCCAGUAGUUUCUCAGGCUCUUGAUAUUCAGUGGAACCUUCAUACCUCUUACCGUCCUCAAUCCUCUGGAAAGGUAGAACGGACUAAUGGUCUUUUAAAGACACACCUCACCAAGCUCAGCCACCAACUUAAAACAGAAUGGACAGUACUUUUACCUCUUGCCCUUCUCAGAAUUAGAGCCUGUCCUUGAGAUGCUAAAGGGUACAGUCCAUUUGAACUUUUAUAUGGAUGCACUUUCUUGCUUGGCCCCGACCUCAUCCCAGACACCAGCCCUCUAGGCGUCUAUGUUCCAAUCCUCUAGCAAGCUAGACAGGAAAUUUGCCAGGCUGCUAAUCUUCUCUUGCCUACUUCAGAUUCCCAGCCAUAUGAAGACACCAUAGCUGAACAAUCAGUUCUUGUUAAGAAUCUGACCCCUCAAACUCUACAACCUGUGGUGCAUGCCUGUAAUCCCAGCUACUUGAGAGGCUCAGGCAGGAGAAUCACUUAGCCAGGCAUGGUGGCAGGCACCUGUAGUCCCAGCUACUUGGGAGGCUGAGGCAGGAGAAUGGCAUGAACCCCGGAGGUGGAGCUUGCAAUGAGCUGAGAUCGUGCCACUGAACUCCAGCCUAGGUGACAGAGCGAGACUCCAUCUCAAAAAAAAAAAAAAAAAAAAAAAGAAAGAAAUGAUGACAGACAGAAUAGAAUGGGCCUGUGAUGCUGGAAGGAGAUAUUUUCCUUGGUCCAAGAACCAUUUGCCUUGAGUGGGGAGGGAUUGAUAGGUGGAAACUUCAGUGGGAGAGUAAGUAGGAAUGACAGAUGAGAAGGAGAAAAACUGGCCAUGAGGGACAGAAGUAGGAAUACUGGCUGCUUCCUUAGCUGUCUUAUCAGCAUAAUUGUUGCCUUGAGCAAUGGGGUCUGAGGCCCUUUGAUGGCCUUUGCAGUGAAGGACUCCAUCUUCCUUUGGAAGUGUUAUUAUGAAAGAUGCAUUAAUGAUGUAGGACCUUCGCAUAGUGAGGAAACCUCUUCCAACCCAUAUAACAGCAUGGUGGUGCAGGAUAUGAAAGGCAUAUUUAGAAUCAAUAUAAAUAUUCACAUGCAGUCCUUUUGCAAGAGUGAGGGCUUGAAUUAAGGUAAUGAGUUUGGCUUGCUGAGAGGUAGUGGAGGUGGGGCAGAGCAGUAGCUUCAAUGAUAAAUGUGGAAGAUACUAUAGCAUAGCCUGCUUUUGCUGGUGAGUGGUGAUUAGGCCUGGUGGAACUGCCAUUAAUAAACAAAAUGUGAUCAGGGUGAGGAACAGGAAAGAAGGAAAUAUGGGGAAAUGGAGUUAAUGCCAGGUGGAUCAGAGAGAGACAGUCAUGGGGGUCAGGUGUGGUAUCAGGAAUAAUGUGGGAGGCCGGAUUGAAGUCUGGGCCAGGAACAAUGGUAAUUGUAGGACUCAACAAAGAGUGAGUACAGCUGAAGGAGCUGGGGUAGGGGGUGGGGGGGGGGCAGAAAGUAUAUGCAAUAAGUGUAAGAAAAUAGAUUUUGGAAGUUAUGAGAACUGUAGAGAGUGAGUUGAGCAUAGUUUGUGAUUUUGAGGGCCUCUAAAAGUAUUAGAGUGGCAACAGCCACUGCAUGCAGACAUGAAAGACAGCCUAAAACAGUAAGGUCAAGUUGUUUCGACAAAAAGCCUACAGGAUGCAGUCCUGGUCCUUGUGUAAGAAUUCUGACUGCACAGCUCUGCACUUUGGCUGUGUGUAAUAAAAAAUGUUGGGAUGAGUCAGGGAGAGCUAGUGUGGGAGCAAUCUCUAGAGCUGUUUUCAAGGAACGGAAAGAGGAGUGGGGAAAGGAUUUGGGAUCUUUGAGGUCAGCUAGGUUUCCAUUUGUGAGUUUAUAUAAUGGUUUUGUAAUGCCUAACUUUGUUUUUACUAACCUUGUUUUUAGAUUCUCCUUUUUCCUUUAAUCACUUAGCCUUGUUUAUACCUGAAUUGACUCUACUUUAGCUAAGAGAGCCAGACAGACUCCAUCUUGGCUCUUUCACUGGCAGCCCCUUCCUCAAGGACUUAACUUGUGCAGGCUGACUCCCAGCACAUCCAAUAAUGCAAUUAACUGAUAAGAUACUGUGGCAAGCUAUGUCCGCAAUUCCCAGGAAUUCAUCUGAUUGAUAACGCCCAAAGCCCCGAGUCUAUCACUUUGUAAUAGUCUUAAAGCCCCUGCACCUGGAACUGCUUACUUUCCUGUAACCAUUUAUCCUUUUAACUUUUUGCCUACUUUAUUUCUGUAAAAUUGUUUUAACUAGAACCCCCUCCCCUUUCUAAACCAAAGUAUAAAAGAAAAUCUAGCCCCUUCUUCAGGGCCAAGAGAAUUUUGAGCGUUAGCUGUCUCUUGGCCGCUGGCUAAAUAAACGGACUCUUAAUUCUUCUCAAAGUGUGGUGUUUUCUCUAACUUACUCAGGUACAAGAUUUGGAGGCCCCAGUGAGAUAUUAACGCCACUGGGCGAGAGCCUUUCUCGCUCUGGGCUCCCCAGGACAGAUGGCUGGCUUAUAGGGGGAGGUGCCACCUGAAAAAUUUUUUUCAGGUCCCUGAAGGGUGACUGUCUUCCGGAGGAGAGCGGAUCAACUACCGUGUGGGUGCCCUAAAAUUCAACAUCUGAGUCCUCAGCUUCUGACCCCAGGUUCAGGUGUUUAAAUCCAGCUACUAUUCAUGACUGUCAGGAACUGUUAGAAACUACUGAAACUGGCCGACUUGACCUUCAAGAUGUGGCCCUAGAGAAGGCGGACGCCACUGUGUUCACAGACGGUAGCAGCUUUCUCGAGCAGGGAGUACGAAAGGCCGGUGCAGCUGUUACCACGGAGACAAAUGUGUCGUAGGCUCAGGCUUUACCAGCAAACACGUCAGCGCAAAAAGCUGAAUUGAUCGCCCUCACUCAGGUUCUCCGAUGGGGUAAGGAUAUUAACGUUUACACUGACAGCAGGUACGCCUUUGCUACUGUGCAUGUUCAUGGAGCCAUCUACCAGGAGUGCAGGCUACUCACCUCAGCAGGAAAGGCUAUCAAAAACAAAGAAGAAUGCCCUGUCUUCAAAGCCUAACAGAUCAAGCAGCUCUCCGGUGCACAACCUACGCCCAGGUAAAUGCCAAGCAAGGUCCUAAUCCCAGCCCAGGCCACCAUCUCUGAGAAAACUCACCAGAAGAAAAGUAUGAAAUCGGCUUUACAGAAGUAAAACCACGCCAGGAUAAGUACAGAUACCUUCUAGUACUAGCAGACACCUUCUCCGGAUGCACUGAGGCAUUUGCUACCAAAAACGAAACUGCCAGCGCAAUAGUUUUUACUCAAUGAAAUCAUCCCUUGACAUAGGCUGCCUGCUGCCAUAAGGUCUGAUAAUGGACCGGCCUUCACCUCGUCCAUAGCUCAGUCGGUCAGUAAGGUGUUUAACAUUCAAUGGAAGCUCCAUGGUGCCUAUCGACCCCAGAGCUCUAG